This 763-nucleotide long non-coding RNA is filed under the name Mus musculus (house mouse). Its description in RNAcentral is "long non-coding RNA chr7:29784009-29784772". The record is from RNAcentral. Lineage: Eukaryota; Metazoa; Chordata; Mammalia; Rodentia; Muridae.
AACCCCCUUCCCCUGACCAAGAGCUAGGGGCCUGGCUCGCAGCCUCCGCGGGGCUGGAAGCCCAGAACCUAGUCAAAGAAGCUAGUGGCAGUCGGACUCUCAGGCUUGAGAUCUGAUGUCCCAGAGCCUUCAGUACCACGGUCCCGUCCGUAGCACUUUGGUGCCGCCGCUGCAGCGCUGACCGCGCUGGCAACCCACCCUCCCGGGAUACCCGUCAGCUGGGUGGUCCCCGGUCUCGUGCGGCCUACGCUCUUCUCCGGGGACCCGCUCUGAGGACCCCUGGGACUCAGGUGGCCCGUUCGUGGGUACAGCUGCCGUGCUGACGCGCUGCACCUAAACCCCGGCCUGGCUGUGGACAAGGACCGAGAGGGAAGGCGGGGGCCGCGACUUGCACGGUGGAGAUACCCUGUGCAGAACCUUAGAUUCCCGGCGGGCCUGGGGAGCAGAGAACCGGGGGACACCUCGGACCUAAGGCUGGGCAGCCCCGGACUGGUAACUGGUGAAGCAGAGUGGCCGAAGCAGCAAACUCGGGCACGGGUGACUGUGGGCUGCUGUAGUCUAUCUCGCUUGCUGGGAUCAUACGGAUGGGGUCAGCCUGGAGCCCUGAAGCUUGGAAGGGGAUUCUGAUCAAUUUCAGAAAAGCGUAGGGGUGAGGCCAGAGGACGUGGUGGCAUACACCUGACUUCUCGGGAUUUGGGAGGUGGAGGCAGGGGGAGUAGGCGCUCAAGGUCAUUCUCUACUGCCUAACGUUGGGUUGCAAGAG